GAUGUUAGCGGCGGACGGGUGAGUAACACGUGGGUAACCUGCCUGUAAGACUGGGAUAACUCCGGGAAACCGGAGCUAAUACCGGAUAGUUCCUUGAACCGCAUGGUUCAAGGAUGAAAGACGGUUUCGGCUGUCACUUACAGAUGGACCCGCGGCGCAUUAGCUAGUUGGUGAGGUAACGGCUCACCAAGGCGACGAUGCGUAGCCGACCUGAGAGGGUGAUCGGCCACACUGGGACUGAGACACGGCCCAGACUCCUACGGGAGGCAGCAGUAGGGAAUCUUCCGCAAUGGACGAAAGUCUGACGGAGCAACGCCGCGUGAGUGAUGAAGGUUUUCGGAUCGUAAAGCUCUGUUGUUAGGGAAGAACAAGUGCAAGAGUAACUGCUUGCACCUUGACGGUACCUAACCAGAAAGCCACGGCUAACUACGUGCCAGCAGCCGCGGUAAUACGUAGGUGGCAAGCGUUGUCCGGAAUUAUUGGGCGUAAAGGGCUCGCAGGCGGUUUCUUAAGUCUGAUGUGAAAGCCCCCGGCUCAACCGGGGAGGGUCAUUGGAAACUGGGAAACUUGAGUGCAGAAGAGGAGAGUGAAUUCCACGUGUAGCGGUGAAAUGCGUAGAGAUGUGUAGGAACACCAGUGGCGAAGGCGACUCUCUGGUCUGUAACUGACGCUGAGGAGCGAAAGCGUGGGGAGCGAACAGGAUUAGAUACCCUGGUAGUCCACGCCGU
Molecule: ribosomal RNA, 728 nt
Filed under: Bacillus stratosphericus
Lineage: Bacteria; Bacillati; Bacillota; Bacilli; Caryophanales; Bacillaceae
Description: bacterial SSU rRNA
Rfam family: Bacterial small subunit ribosomal RNA
Source: RNAcentral